RNAcentral lists this ribosomal RNA (495 nucleotides) under uncultured bacterium. RNAcentral describes it as "partial 16S ribosomal RNA". It matches the Rfam family "Bacterial small subunit ribosomal RNA", at positions 28 to 507 of the family's 1533-position model. The record is from RNAcentral.
GACGAACGCUGGCGGCGUGCCUAAUACAUGCAAGUAGAACGCUGAAGGAGGAGCUUGCUUCUCUGGAUGAGUUGCGAACGGGUGAGUAACGCGUAGGUAACCUGCCUGGUAGCGGGGGAUAACUAUUGGAAACGAUAGCUAAUACCGCAUAAUAGUAGAUGUCGCAUGACAUUUGCUUAAAAGGUGCAAUUGCAUCACUACCAGAUGGACCUGCGUUGUAUUAGCUAGUUGGUGAGGUAACGGCUCACCAAGGCAACGAUACAUAGCCGACCUGAGAGGGUGAUCGGCCACACUGGGACUGAGACACGGCCCAGACUCCUACGGGAGGCAGCAGUAGGGAAUCUUCGGCAAUGGACGGAAGUCUGACCGAGCAACGCCGCGUGAGUGAAGAAGGGUGUCGGAUCGGAAAGCUCUGUUGUAAGAGAAGAACGAGUGUGAGAGUGGAAAGUUCACACUGUGACGGUAUCUGACCAGAAAGGGACGGCUAACUACGUG